GUUACAGUUACGCCUCUAGUUUUGUGUCACUGCACGUUCUUUUGGCGCUUGCAUUUGAGCAUAGAAGGCUGCGUUAUCUGCUUGAGUGUAAACGAAAGCUGUGCCUGAAUCCACUGUUAUCACGGAGCUAAAACCAGUGAAUUCCGUUAAAAUGGUCAGGUUUUGGUAAAGAGUUGGAAACAUCGUGCAGAGAUCCUUUCCACGGAGUGAUACAGAUCCACACGUUCCAGACGUUCUCCCAGAGAUUCAUAGAUUCCCAGUCCGGGUGGCUGGGUGGCGAGCCAACCGUGUUUGUGACUCUGACUUUAGACGAACUGCCUGGAUCAUCCUCUUCAUCUUCGUUGUGGUAGGACAAAAACUAACUCAGAGUUAAAAAAAAGGGCCCCAACGGUGAAACUGAACUUUUGUCAACCAAGGCAAAACGAACCGAGGACGAACUGAGCUCAACGAUUCUGAUACGAGAGGGUUUUGUUUUGUUUUUGUGCGCACUUUAUUAUUUUAGUUUGUUAUUUUUCAUAAAUGUGUUUUUGCUUGUAUGUAUGUUUCACCCUGUGAAUUUAAUACAGGUUUGUCUAAACUGUCA
This is a long non-coding RNA of Carassius auratus (goldfish), 583 nucleotides long. RefSeq lists it as uncharacterized. NCBI's taxonomy places the organism in Eukaryota, Metazoa, Chordata, Actinopteri, Cypriniformes, Cyprinidae. The record is from RefSeq and is a predicted model, not a curated record. The transcript is spliced from 3 exons.